UAACUCCUGACCUCAAGUGAUCCGCCCACCUCGGCCUCCCAAAGUGCUGGGAUUACAGGCAUGAGCCACCGCUCCGGGCCCUUGCACAUAUUUUUUUAUGAACACACAGGCAGCAGCACUUUGAUUACAGUAACUUACAUGGAAGUUAUUUUAAAAUGGCUUUCCCCUUCUCUUUUUCAUGUAGGCUGCAUUUUUCAUCUGCAGCACGCUUUCUCUCAAGAAUCUCAAGCACACACAAGAAACCAGAGAGUAAAAUCACUGAGGCGUGAACACAUCCAGAGACCAAGGGCGUCACUGGCAGAAAAGCUUUUAGGCGGAUCCACGGCCCGAGAGCCACCCUGCCCAGAGACGCGGUUUCCUAGGAGCAGUUCACACGCGGCUCUGCAGCACCCACAAGCGGGGCCAGGGGCUGGUUUUCAUAGUUCACAGUCUGCAGGGAUCUUAACAAAAACAUGGCCGUGGUAAAAGUGCCUAGACCAGGCUUUCGUCACAACUCAGUGAGUAGGAAGACUAGUUAGGCUGAUGAAAAGCUCUGAUGAUGUGUGAUUAAAAGUAGGAAAACGUGGUUGCCAAAUAAAAUAUUUUACUAUAUAGUCAGGGGGAGAGAUGGGGAUAAAAAAAUGUGGAAACCAUUUAUUUUAAAAUUUUGACUGUUCCUGCAGUGUUUAAAAUAUAGGAGAUAUAUUCUGAUUAUCUUUAGAAAGAAACUGCUCUCAAUCUAUUUGUAUGUCUUCCCUCUGGUUUUAAAAUAUUAAACAAUCAUCUAACUCAAUAUUUAAUUUUACCUCUAGUCAUGUUACUAGGUUAGGAUAAUAAAAAGGACUGUGAACUUCACAUCUGCCAUCUAUAAUAGAUUCUUAUUGUAGCAAUCUUGCACCAAGGGGAUUUCUUUAUUAACUCUGCCAAAUUUUCCAAAAUUACCAAAUGGAGAAAAGAGCUGGUCCCAUCUGUCACCAGGCACAACCAGGAAGUGUCAGAAGACUUUCAGAAGCACAUGCAGUUGCAGCUCCAGUGUUUCAACAGUUGCCCAUUUCCAAGGCCUCCUAAAUACGUAUGAGGCCUGUGGACAACUUUCUCCUCAGCUGUUACAGAACCUGGACAACUUGUAGUGAAGACCUUCCACACCAGUAACAUAUUUUGGUGAGCCAGUCGGGAGCACGAAUGGUUAGAAAGAUGAACUUGGAACCUCAGACGAGAAUAUGAGAAACAUAAACAGAGACAUAUGACAACCUAAAAAAUGGAGUACAAUACCAAUAAGAAUAACGAUUA
Molecule: long non-coding RNA, 1269 nt
Filed under: Homo sapiens (human)
Lineage: Eukaryota; Metazoa; Chordata; Mammalia; Primates; Hominidae
Description: HSALNT0375452
Source: RNAcentral